This 2046-nucleotide long non-coding RNA is filed under the name Heterocephalus glaber (naked mole-rat). RNAcentral describes it as "lncRNA (ENSHGLG00100049267.1)". The record is from RNAcentral. Lineage: Eukaryota; Metazoa; Chordata; Mammalia; Rodentia; Bathyergidae.
CCUUCCCGGGCGGAGCAGGCGACGGCGGCGGACGGCAGGAUCGGCUGGCCGGCGGCGCCCACACCCGCCCCGGGGGCUUCCCCGGCCGCCGGCUUCCUUUUGCUCUUUCCGGGCGGCGAUGAGCGCGCAGGACCCGCGCGGAGGCUGCGGGCGCACAGGAGCCCGCGCUCCUAGCCACCUCUCAGGCCUCGGGAAGGAAGCCGGAGUGAGAUUGCGUUCUGCCCCGGACCGGCAGGUAUGGAUCUGGGGCUCCUGGCUUGAUCACCCGAGAGCCACCCCCCUCUUGGCCGCGGAGGAAGGUGUCUGCCAGGACGCAGAGCCCUGCAGCCGUCCAGAGCAUCGGACACCCUCCAGCCCCACCCCGGAGGCCUUCUGGCAUCAGCUCUGGUGCGGCAGCCCGAGCCCAGGAAACCUCUGGAUUUGCCUGUCUGGACUUUGGAGGGUGAAUGGAACCACGGACUCAGUGCCUUCUGCAUGUGGCCACUGUGCUGAGCAUAAGGGGCAUGGUCUAGCCACUCACUGCACCGCCCCAGCCCGGAGCCUCUGACCCUCGCCGUGUCUGGUUCUCCGCCGGCAGCAGGUGUAGUCACCGGCCACCAUGGGCAAGCAGAACAGCAAGCUGCGGCCAGGAGGUGCUGCAAGACCUGCGUGAGAACACGGAGUUCACCCAACCAUGAGCUGCAGGAGUGGUACAAGGGCUUCCUAAAGGACUGCCCCACCGGCCACCUCACCGUGGGCGAGUUCAAGAAGAUCUACGCCAACUUCUUCCCCUACGGCGACGCCUCCAAGUUCGCCUGAGCAUGUCUUCCGUGCACCUUUGACACCAACGGUGAUGGCACCAUCGACUUCCGGGAGUUCAUCAUCGCGCUGAGCGUGACUUCUCGGGGAAGCUGGAGCAGAAGCUCAAGUGGGCCUUCAGCAUGUAUGAUCUGGAUGGCAACGGGUACAUCAGCAGCAGCGAGAUGUUGGAGAUUGUGCAGGCAAACUGUCCCUGGAAGAAUUCAUCAAAGGUGCCAAGAGCGACCCCUCCAUCGUGCGGCUGCUGCAGUGCGACCCCAGCAGCGCCAGCCAGUUCUGAGGGUGGGGGUGGGGUGGGCGACGCGAGGAGCCCGGCUCCUGCCCUUCUCAGCUUUGCUCUCCAAAGCGGACGCCUCCGCCUCCAGCACCCUCCUGCCGGGCCGGCCAGUAACACGAAGCACCUGGCCUGCGGGCUCUGCCUCCCCUCCUCCGCCUGACCAGCCUGAUGUCCCCUCCCGCCCGGCCCGUCCCCUUCCAAAGUGACUCCGGGGAUGGAACUCUCCUCUGCAGGGCACGGCUUGCCGGGCUCCGGGCAGGACUUUCCAGGAGCGUGCCGAGGCCCGAGUUGGCCUCCCCAGCGCCAGCGCGGGGACUUCGUGGGCUGGGGUGGGACCGAAGAUGAAGACGAAGACAGCGGAGCACAGACAGCCGAGCCCCUCCCGUGCAUGGCCCGCCCCCUUGCCCACGUGACCAGAGCCCUUGCACGCGUCAUUCUGCGGUCCUUUCUUUUCAUAUGUAAAUUAUGUGUCUGCUGACGUGAGGUGUGACGUGUAGGUUCCCUAUUUGAAGCCUCCCGUCGCCCGUGCAGCAUGGUCCCGUGACCUGCGGUGGUCCCGUGGAUUUCGGCCUCGCACCCGCCCCGGUGCUGGAGAAGAUGCAUGCAUGCCCGGGGCCCUGGACGCUGCACCGUCCUUGUCGUGAGUGCAGGCAUCUGUGUGACCGUCCUUCCUGUUGACUGGUCUGGCAUUUCUGGUAUUAAAAUGAUCAAAUAAACGGAGUCCUGUGAGUGUCAUGUGCCUCGUAUUGAACAUACAGGGAGCGUCUCGGUGUGGAAGUCACGUUCCAAGGGGAUGGGUGGGGCCCGAGGCUCAGCCUGGGUCUGCAUCCUGCCUCCUCGGCCUCCGUCCGCCCCUGGGCCCGUGGCGGCUGGCCCUGUGGGGACGCCCAUCCCCCGCCCGGAAGUCGCACAUCGGGGCUGCGGGAAACCAUCACUGAGGAGCCUCGGGUCCUUCUGUGCCCCUCUCCCAC